GUGAAUCAUCGAAUCUUUGAACGCACCUUGCACCCUCUGGUAUUCCGGAGGGUAUGCCCGGUUGAGUAUUAUGAUCAACUCAAGCCUUUGGUUUUCUAAUUGCAAAGGUCAGAUGCUCGGCGAAGCCGUCUGUAGGGACGGUGGUAGCUGAAGUCCGACUUGGAAUUCCUAAUGGCAUUGGACUUGAGCGUGUGUCGGUCUCUAAUUGAGAGAUCGGCUCGCUUGAAAUGCAUUAGCUGGCGACCCGCCUUACGGUUCCACUCGACGUAGUAAGUCUUAUUCGUUGAGGACACUUUCAUCUCGAAGGUGGCCGUUCGGUUGUUGGUAUUACAAGCCGCUUCUAAUCGUCUUAGGACAACUACUUGAACGUUUAAUCUCAACUCGGGUAGGACUACCCGCUGAACUUAAGCAUAUCAAUAAGCGGAGGAAAAGA
RNAcentral lists this ribosomal RNA (433 nucleotides) under Tulasnellaceae sp. CBS 508.93. RNAcentral describes it as "eukaryotic LSU rRNA". The stretch from base 372 to 433 matches the Rfam family "Eukaryotic large subunit ribosomal RNA", at positions 1 to 62 of the family's 3401-position model. The record is from RNAcentral. Lineage: Eukaryota; Fungi; Basidiomycota; Agaricomycetes; Cantharellales; Tulasnellaceae.